CGAAUCGGUAGACGGCUACGGACUUAAAUCCGUCGAUUUUUAAAAUCGUGAGGGUUCAAGUCCCUCUAUCCCCA
Molecule: transfer RNA, 74 nt
Filed under: Corymbia papuana
Lineage: Eukaryota; Viridiplantae; Streptophyta; Magnoliopsida; Myrtales; Myrtaceae
Description: partial tRNA-Leu
Rfam family: tRNA
About the family: Transfer RNA (tRNA) molecules are approximately 80 nucleotides in length.
Source: RNAcentral